Molecule: non-coding RNA, 98 nt
Organism: Clostridium tetanomorphum DSM 665
Lineage: Bacteria; Bacillati; Bacillota; Clostridia; Eubacteriales; Clostridiaceae
Source: Rfam
UUAAAAAACAUAUAAUUUACUCAUAUAUCCCCUGAAUAUGGCAGGAAGUAUCUACCAGGAGCCGUAAAUUCCUGACUAUGAGUGAAAUUUAAGCUUGU